This 739-nucleotide ribosomal RNA is filed under the name Schaalia canis. RNAcentral's name for it is "bacterial SSU rRNA". It matches the Rfam family "Bacterial small subunit ribosomal RNA", at positions 52 to 787 of the family's 1533-position model. Lineage: Bacteria; Bacillati; Actinomycetota; Actinomycetes; Actinomycetales; Actinomycetaceae. The record is from RNAcentral.
UACCAUGCAGUCGAACGGACCGCUUGGGCGCUUUGCGUUUGGGUUGGUUAGUGGCSAACGGGUGARYAACACGUGAGUAACCUGCCCCCUUCUUCGGGAUAACGUUCGGAAACGGAUGCUAAUACCGGGUAUUUACCUCAUGUCGCAUGGWGUGGGGUGGAAAGGUUUUUUCUGGUGGGGGAUGGGCUCGCGGCCUAUCAGCUUGUUGGUGGGGUGAUGGCCUACCAAGGCUUUGACGGGUAACCGGCCUGAAGGGUGACCGGCACAUUGGGACUGAAUACGGCCCAACUCCUACGGGAGGCAGCAGUGGGGAAUUUUGCACAAUGGGCGAAAGCCUGAUGCAGCGACGCCGCGUGAGGGAUGACGGCCUUCGGGUUGUAAACCUCUUUCGCUCAUGGUCAAGGCUAGUUUUUGUUCUAGUUGAGGGUAGUGGGUAAAGAAGCGCCGGCUAACUACGUGCCARCAGCCGCGGUAAUACGUAGGGCGCGAGCGUUGUCCGGAAUUAUUGGGCGUAAAGGGCUUGUAGGCGGCUUGUCGCGUCUGCCGUGAAAACCCACAGCUUAWCUGUGGGCUUGCGGUGGGUACKGGCUGGCUUGAGUGCGGUAGGGGAGACUGGAAUUCCUGGUGUAKCGGUGGAAUGCGCAGAUAUCAGGAKGAACACCGGUGGCGAAGGCGGGUCUCUGGGCCGUUACUGACGCUGASGAKCGAAAGCGUGGGGAGCGAACAGGAUUAGAUACAC